This is a long non-coding RNA of Oryzias melastigma (Indian medaka), 1356 nucleotides long. RefSeq lists it as uncharacterized. Lineage: Eukaryota; Metazoa; Chordata; Actinopteri; Beloniformes; Adrianichthyidae. The record is from RefSeq and is a predicted model, not a curated record. The transcript is spliced from 3 exons.
GUGACGCGCCGCUGACUGUAAACAGAUCUGUCAGUCAGCUGACUUGAUGUGCUCCAAUCUGAAUGUAGCCCCACCCAAUCAGGAUGAGGGACCAGCAGGUUGUGAAUAGACCCUCCCAGCUGUCAGAGAACAGAGGUGACCUGACAGAGUGUGAAGGCCUCGUCUCACUCCCCACACUGCGAGGGCUGUCUUCUUCCCCGGAUGGGAGGAUGGAUGGAUGGACGGAUGGAUGGAUUCUGGACACAGCAGAAGCUUGUUUAUCUGUUGAUGCAACCCCCUCCCCCUCCAAAAAGAUGCUUUAGAGGAAACAAAGAAAUGCAGCAUUAAUGGAUGAACCCGAUCCAUGCGGUCUGUUUUCAUGGUGUUAAUGGAGCGCUGACCCGACCCCCGCGCACUCACACUCACCUGUGGACUCACCUGUACGCAGCAGAGCGGCCAUUACUGCUCCGGCUCCGUCUGCCAUGUUUUAUUCAAACACCAACACCUCUUUCCUACAGAAGCCCCAUACCCACGAAAACGAGCGGUUGGUAUCGAGCUGACGUCAGCAUUAGUGAACCGGCCCCUCCAGGAAGAAUCUGUUCUGCAAGCUCCGCCCCCAGAAUACAAGGAACACACACCCACUUUCUCCGCAGAGCAUUAGGUGAUCAUCAGCAAAGCGUUGUAAUCUGAGACGAAGAGGCUCAUCUUGAAUGUAAUCUGCAGAGAAAACUACUAUGUCUGGAUGAUGUCGUGAAAUGGGCGGGACCAACAAGGAGCCAAAGGCGGAGCCUCAGAGAUCGAGUUCUUUUACUUCUGUGUAUUAAAACGGUCCACAAAAAUGACUCAUAUUUCAUAAAUAGUUUGUUUUUUAGUGUCCUGAAGGUAAUAUAUGAUCAUAGAUAUGGAUAUAGUUCACCCUGAAAGUCAUAAUGUGGCCCCUUUAACAGAACUUUUUCAAACAUUUUUCUGCACCAACAGCCUGACCAGCUUCUCCUGGAGGUUCCAAGGUCAAAGAAGGAGCACAGAAGGGAGCAAACUUUUAAUUUUUACUGUUCUAUAUUUUACUAUUUAGUUUAACUUUUUUUAACCUUUUAAUUGUUUGACCAUGUUCUUGUUAAUAGAUAAAUAAAGGUGAUUUGAUUUGUGGAGCUGAGCUGUAGGAUGAAAGAAGUUGAACGUUUUUAAUUGUUUCCCUGCCCUGGGAUUGUUCAUGAAAACAUUUCUCCAGCAUCAGAUUGAUUCCCAGCAGCAGUUACUCUUUGAUACCAUGUGAGAUUAGCUCAUCAAUUUCUUCAGUAUUGCCAAACUCCAGCAGAUCCCUCAACAUUACGAUAUACUGUAACAUGGUUUCCUCAUCCUGUUCGGUAAAGUCUGGAU